Molecule: ribosomal RNA, 677 nt
Filed under: Salmonella enterica
Lineage: Bacteria; Pseudomonadati; Pseudomonadota; Gammaproteobacteria; Enterobacterales; Enterobacteriaceae
Also listed under: 1 other name
Description: bacterial SSU rRNA
Rfam family: Bacterial small subunit ribosomal RNA
Source: RNAcentral
AAAUUGAAGAGUUUGAUCAUGGCUCAGAUUGAACGCUGGCGGCAGGCCUAACACAUGCAAGUCGAACGGUAGCACAGAGAGCUUGCUCUCGGGUGACGAGUGGCGGACGGGUGAGUAAUGUCUGGGAAACUGCCUGAUGGAGGGGGAUAACUACUGGAAACGGUGGCUAAUACCGCAUAACGUCGCAAGACCAAAGAGGGGGACCUUCGGGCCUCUUGCCAUCAGAUGUGCCCAGAUGGGAUUAGCUAGUUGGUGAGGUAACGGCUCACCAAGGCGACGAUCCCUAGCUGGUCUGAGAGGAUGACCAGCCACACUGGAACUGAGACACGGUCCAGACUCCUACGGGAGGCAGCAGUGGGGAAUAUUGCACAAUGGGCGCAAGCCUGAUGCAGCCAUGCCGCGUGUAUGAAGAAGGCCUUCGGGUUGUAAAGUACUUUCAGCGGGGAGGAAGGUGUUGUGGUUAAUAACCGCAGCAAUUGACGUUACCCGCAGAAGAAGCACCGGCUAACUCCGUGCCAGCAGCCGCGGUAAUACGGAGGGUGCAAGCGUUAAUCGGAAUUACUGGGCGUAAAGCGCACGCAGGCGGUCUGUCAAGUCGGAUGUGAAAUCCCCGGGCUCAACCUGGGAACUGCAUUCGAAACUGGCAGGCUUGAGUCUUGUAGAGGGGGGUAGAAUUC